Molecule: long non-coding RNA, 532 nt
Organism: Tupaia belangeri chinensis (Chinese tree shrew)
Lineage: Eukaryota; Metazoa; Chordata; Mammalia; Scandentia; Tupaiidae
Exons: 3
Source: RefSeq, a predicted model, not a curated record
GACCAACCGGAGGCACCAGCUGCGCGGCCGCGUGGUCUGCCCGAGACAGAAGAAGACUGUAGCCGCCAGUGCUGGCAGGAGCCAGGCCCGACCGCGGGCUGCCGGAUGGACACAGCCCACUCAUCCUCAAAAGCCUGGGGUCGGGGCACAAGACUCCGCGGGCAGAAGUGAAGGGCACUCCUUCAGCUGCGAACGUGUGACAGGCAGCGGGCGGCUUUCAGCAGAACUCCAGGAAACACUCGGCGGAGCGGGGCAGAGGCCGUGAGCAGGGCAGGGCGCGACGGCUGUGACUGCAGAGUGACAGGUGUUUUGCUACCUUGAUGAAACAGUGGCUUCUUGGGCACGAGUCGGAGGAUCUUCGAAAAGUCCACAGAGAAGCACAUCCUGGUAAAGCUGGGCGUGGGUUUCAAACGUUUGGCACCAAAAGAAACUGGUGCCUUCGAUCUCUCUCCCACGACUGUCCGGAGCCCCCCACCUGUGCCAGGCUUGACCGCGCACGGCACCGGACGCCGUCUCAGUAAAGCUGUUUAAA